RNAcentral lists this antisense RNA (75 nucleotides) under Saccharopolyspora dendranthemae. RNAcentral's name for it is "ASpks TB sRNA". It matches the Rfam family "ASpks TB sRNA". The record is from RNAcentral. Lineage: Bacteria; Bacillati; Actinomycetota; Actinomycetes; Pseudonocardiales; Pseudonocardiaceae.
UUUCAUCGAGCCCAGCCAGAGCGGCGCCUCCGGGCCCCGGCCCUGGCCGUAGGUGGCCAGCAACGCGCCGGCUUC